GAGUUUGAUCGUGGCUCAGAUUGAACGCUGGCGGCAUGCCUUACACAUGCAAGUCGAACGGCAGCAUGAUCUAGCUUGCUAGAUUGAUGGCGAGUGGCGAACGGGUGAGUAAUACAUCGGAACGUGCCCUGUAGCGGGGGAUAACUAGUCGAAAGAUUAGCUAAUACCGCAUACGACCUGAGGGUGAAAGUGGGGGACCGCAAGGCCUCAUGCUAUAGGAGCGGCCGAUGUCUGAUUAGCUAGUUGGUGGGGUAAAGGCCCACCAAGGCGACGAUCAGUAGCUGGUCUGAGAGGACGAUCAGCCACACUGGGACUGAGACACGGCCCAGACUCCUACGGGAGGCAGCAGUGGGGAAUUUUGGACAAUGGGCGAAAGCCUGAUCCAGCAAUGCCGCGUGUGUGAAGAAGGCCU
RNAcentral lists this ribosomal RNA (412 nucleotides) under uncultured microorganism. RNAcentral describes it as "bacterial SSU rRNA". It matches the Rfam family "Bacterial small subunit ribosomal RNA", at positions 9 to 417 of the family's 1533-position model. The record is from RNAcentral.